UCUGUAGAGCUUGCAAAGGAGGUGCUCAGGUUCCAGUUUUACAAGCCUUAGUUCACUACCUACGUCCAGGACCUAUGAGAAGUUGAAGACUCCCGGGUGUUUGACUCAUCCUUGAGAAAUUAAGGCCCACGGUACUGGCCGGAGCAGUGUACCUACAGCAGAGCAAUGAGAAAUGCAUGUCCACAGAUGCAAGGAUGAACAAAUGUUUCUCUGGACCAAAUGUGGUCUAUGAAGAAGGACCAGGCGCCUGGGUUAAAUUUUUGUCUGCUUAAGAGGACUACUUGGGAGAGAGAGGGGACCCCAAACAAAAAGAAUCUGUGUAGAAUGAACCACCAAGUACCCAGAGGCUACAAGUGAAUACCUUUGUCGGCCUGUGAGUGCCAGGCCAGCUCCUGACUGUUUUUCUCUUUUUCAAGAGGUAAGACUCAUGAAGUUGCAAAGGACAUAAAACCCCAACCGAACUGAACUAAGCAAAAAGGACCACGUCUUAUUUCUAACAAAAAUCAUCCACCAAAGACGAAAAAAUAUCAGUGAUUUUGAAAACAUCCUUGCUACUGCUGUGUUGAAGAAAAAAAAUGUGUCUCAUUAAGGCAUCUUUGACUGGCAUUUUUCACGAAA
Molecule: long non-coding RNA, 618 nt
Organism: Physeter macrocephalus (sperm whale)
Lineage: Eukaryota; Metazoa; Chordata; Mammalia; Artiodactyla; Physeteridae
Exons: 3
Source: RefSeq, a predicted model, not a curated record